This 498-nucleotide ribosomal RNA is filed under the name uncultured bacterium. RNAcentral describes it as "partial 16S ribosomal RNA". It matches the Rfam family "Bacterial small subunit ribosomal RNA", at positions 28 to 507 of the family's 1533-position model. The record is from RNAcentral.
GACGAACGCUGGCGGCGUGCCUAAUACAUGCAAGUCGAGCGGACGGAUGGGAGCUUGCUCCCAGACCGUCAGCGGCGGACGGGUGAGUAACACGUGGGCAACCUGCCUGUAAGACUGGGAUAACUCCGGGAAACCGGGGCUAAUACCGGAUAACUCUUUCCCUCACAUGAGGGAAAGCUGAAAGAUGGCAUCUCGCUAUCACUUACAGAUGGGCCCGCGGCGCAUUAGCUAGUUGGUGAGGUAACGGCUCACCAAGGCGACGAUGCGUAGCCGACCUGAGAGGGUGAUCGGCCACACUGGGACUGAGACACGGCCCAGACUCCUACGGGAGGCAGCAGUAGGGAAUCUUCCGCAAUGGGCGAAAGUCUGACGGAGCAACGCCGCGUGAGUGAUGAAGGUUUUCGGAUCGUAAAACUCUGUUGUCAGGGAAGAACAAGUACCGGAGUAACUGCCGGUACCUUGACGGUACCUGGCCAGAAAGCCACGGCUAACUACGUG